RNAcentral lists this ribosomal RNA (380 nucleotides) under uncultured bacterium. RNAcentral describes it as "bacterial SSU rRNA". It matches the Rfam family "Bacterial small subunit ribosomal RNA", at positions 29 to 404 of the family's 1533-position model. The record is from RNAcentral.
AACGAACGCUGGCGGCAGGCCUAACACAUGCAAGUCGAACGCGCGUAGCAAUACGCGAGUGGCGCACGGGUGAGUAACGCGUGGGUAACCUACCUCGAAGUUUGGAAUAACCCGGGGAACCUGAGCUAAUACCGGAUGAGCCUACGAGGCCUUCGGGUCAUGUGGGAAAGAUGGCCUCUGCUUGCAAGCUAUCGCUACGAGAUGAGCCCGCGUCCCAUUAGCUAGNGGUGAGGUAACGGCUCACCAAGGCGACGAUGGGUAGCUGGUCUGAGAGGACGAUCAGCCACACUGGAACUGAGACACGGUCCAGACUCCUACGGGAGGCAGCAGUCGGGAAUAUUGGGCAAUGGGCGCAAGCCUGACCCAGCGACGCCGCGUGA